GAUGAACGCUGGCGGCGUGCCUAAUACAUGCAAGUCGAGCGAACAGACGAGGAGCUUGCUCCUCUGACGUUAGCGGCGGACGGGUGAGUAACACGUGGAUAACCUACCUAUAAGACUGGGAUAACUUCGGGAAACCGGAGCUAAUACCGGAUAAUAUAUUGAACCGCAUGGUUCAUUAGUGAAAGACGGUUUUGCUGUCACUUAUAGAUGGAUCCGCGCCGCAUUAGCUAGUUGGUAAGGUAACGGCUUACCAAGGCAACGAUGCGUAGCCGACCUGAGAGGGUGAUCGGCCACACUGGAGCGGGGACACGGUCCAGACUCCUACGGGAGGCAGCAGUAGGGAAUCUUCCGCAGAGGGCGAAAGCCUGACGGAGCAACGCCGCGUGAGUGAUGAAGGUCUUCGGAUCGUAAAACUCUGUUAUUAGGGAAGAACAAAUGUGUAAGUAACUAUGCACGUCUUGACGGUACCUAAUCAGAAAGCAACGGCUAACUACGUG
RNAcentral lists this ribosomal RNA (497 nucleotides) under uncultured bacterium. RNAcentral's name for it is "partial 16S ribosomal RNA". It matches the Rfam family "Bacterial small subunit ribosomal RNA", at positions 28 to 507 of the family's 1533-position model. The record is from RNAcentral.